CCUACGGGUGGCAGCAGUGAGGAAUAUUGGUCAAUGGUCGCAAGUCUGAACCAGCCAUGCCGCGUGCAGGAAGACGGCUCUAUGAGUUGUAAACUGCUUUUGUACGAGGGUAAACGCAGAUACGCGUAUCUGUCUGAAAGUAUCGUACGAAUAAGGAUCGGCUAACUCCGUGCCAGCAGCCGCGGUAAUACGGAGGGUUCGAGCGUUAUCCGGAUUUAUUGGGUUUAAAGGGUGCGUAGGCGGUCGGAUAAGUGUGAGGUGAAAUCCCGAGGCUCAACUUCGGAAUUGCCUCUGGUACUGGUCGGCUAGAGAGUACUGGCGGUAGGCGGAAUGUAUGGUGUAGCGGUGAAAUGCUUAGAGAUCACACAGAACACCGAUUGCGAAGGCAGCUUACGAAGCUACUUCUGACGUUGAGGCACGAAAGCGUGGGUAGCAAACAGGAUUAGAUACCCGGGUAGUC
Molecule: ribosomal RNA, 460 nt
Filed under: uncultured bacterium
Lineage: Bacteria
Description: partial 16S ribosomal RNA
Rfam family: Bacterial small subunit ribosomal RNA
Source: RNAcentral